Molecule: ribosomal RNA, 417 nt
Filed under: uncultured bacterium
Lineage: Bacteria
Description: partial 16S ribosomal RNA
Rfam family: Bacterial small subunit ribosomal RNA
Source: RNAcentral
AAUAUUGGUCAAUGGAUGUAACUCUGAACCAGCCAAGCCGCGUGAAGGAUGACGGCUCUACGGUCUAUAUACUUCUUUUUAAAGGGAAUAAAGUGAGCCACGUGUGGCAUUUUGCAUUUACCUUACGAUUAAGGAUCUGCUAACUCCGUGCCAGCAGCCGCGGUAAUACGGAGGAUUCGAGCGUUAUCCGGAUUUAUUGGGUUUAAAGGGUGCGCAGGCGGAAUAUUAAGUCGGAGGUGAAAGUUUGCAGCUUAACUGUAAAAUUGCCGUUGAUACUGGUAUUCUUGAGUGUAGAAGAAGUAGGCGGAAUUUGUAGUGUAGCGGUGAAAUGCAUAGAUAUUACAAGGAACUCCGAUUGCGAAGGCAGCUUACUAAAAUACAACUGACGCUUAGGCACGAAGGCGUGGGGAGCAAACA